GCUAAUUCUAAAAGUACCAGAAUAGUUACUCUAGAUGCAUUAUCUCGUAGUUUACAAAGAAUUGAAAAUGUAUCUUUUUCAGAAGCCUGUUCUCUGGAAAAGAACACAAACAAGCUAAAACCUUUUAAUUUGUUCCCAGAGCUAGCACACCCACCCUAUUUGGGGAACAGGCUGAAGUUAGAAGAGCAUUCUAAACACUAAUGUCCAAAUGCAUUUUUGAUAAUAAGUGAUGAUUCAAAGCAGACCUAUCCAUUGGUAUUGAGAGAAACAGUGUCUCUUUUUAAAGGCACGUCCUGAGAUCUUGGAACCAAACCCCCAUGGAUAUCAAGAGGUGACCACAUACGAACUCAGGAGAGAUAUCAACGGUACAGAGGGUCAUUGAAGUCAUGAGUAUAAAAAUGGGGGACUGGAACUGGAGAACUGAGUCCUGAUGAAGACUUGAAAAUCAUACCCUGCUGAAGAUCAACUGCAACACAAUAAGAAACUGACCCUCAGGCAACCAAUGGAAACUCGUCAU
Molecule: long non-coding RNA, 517 nt
Filed under: Homo sapiens (human)
Lineage: Eukaryota; Metazoa; Chordata; Mammalia; Primates; Hominidae
Description: HSALNT0138870
Source: RNAcentral